Long non-coding RNA from Magnolia sinica, 926 nucleotides. RefSeq lists it as uncharacterized. Lineage: Eukaryota; Viridiplantae; Streptophyta; Magnoliopsida; Magnoliales; Magnoliaceae. The record is from RefSeq and is a predicted model, not a curated record. The transcript has 3 exons.
UUGUAUUUUCCAUGGGCGGAACAGACCCAUCCCAUCCAUGCUUCACUCAACUGAGCAUCUCUGCUUAUGGGCCUCAUGGGAUUAUGCAUGGUGAACGAACAUGAGUUGAACUGGCCAAUUGGCGGUACUUAAUACAAUAUAAAUCAGGUGUGUUCACCUGGAGGUCUUGUUUAUCUCAUAUGUUUGCCAUGUCCACACAUGUGGAAGCCUGAGGAGGGGCUGGGGCUGACAAUAUACAUCAACUCCCAAGGUGGAUGAGUGCAAGUCAGCACAUGGGUGGAACUUCCUGACAAUAUACCACAGCUUAUGGUUGGGCCCUGGCCCAUCUGAGAUAGCACCCAUCUCCAAGAUCGUCUGAAACCAUUGUCUCCUGAUAUGUGCCAAUUGACUGGCCUAUGGUACUUAUAAGUGGAUACUAAUGGAACCUGCAUCAAUGGCUGUCUGGUACUUAUUAUGUGGAUACUAAUGAUAUUCUAUUUCAGCCUGCCACCACUAAUGGUAAGCAACAAGACUCUCUGCUAAAAUUUUCCCUUAACAUUUGGUUUGUCAUGUUGAGUUGUGCUUCCAUUCUAUGGAUUUCUCCUCAUGGUGUUCAUUUCCUCAUGCUUGCAGAUAGGAUCCACAGCAAAAUGGGUGAAGGCUGGUGAGUUGGCCGAAAAUGUUUCAAAAAUGAUUGAUUCUCAUUUUGCAGAGAAGAUUGAUAUGUCAGAAGUGCAGGUGAUGUAUAGAUUGAAAACCCAAAGAACCAUCCCUCCAUGAAAGAUUUUACUGAAUGAAUAAGACGAUAGUUUUACGACUUAAUUUUAUUUAUAUUUCCGCUGCGAACUCGAUAAUGUGAUAAACUCCCAUUAAGAGAGAAUUUGAUAAUUUGUUGAAUUCUUUUACUCUAAUGAAAUAAUAAAUAUAGUCAAUUUUAUUCUCGUGAA